UGAGGAAUAUUGGGCAAUGCCCGCAAGGGUGACCCAGCAACGCCGCGUGGAGGAUGAAUGUCGUAAGAUUGUAAACUCCUGUUAGAGGGGAAGAAUAGUACCGGUUGGACCGGUAUAUGACUGUACCCUCAGAGAAAGCCCCGGCUAACUACGUGCCAGCAGCCGCGGUAAUACGUAGGGGGCAAGCGUUGUCCGGAUUUACUGGGUGUAAAGGGCGCGCAGGCGGGAUAAAAAGUCAGUGGUGAAAUCCUACAGCUUAACUGUAGAACUGCCUUUGAUACUUUUAGUCUUGAGUUCGGGAGAGAGAGACGGAAUUCCAGGUGUAGUGGUGAAAUACGUAGAUAUCUGGAAGAACACCAGUUGCGAAGGCGGUCUCUUGGUCCGACACUGACGCUGAGGCGCGAAAGCGUGGUGAGCAAACA
This 422-nucleotide ribosomal RNA is filed under the name uncultured bacterium. RNAcentral's name for it is "bacterial SSU rRNA". It matches the Rfam family "Bacterial small subunit ribosomal RNA", at positions 355 to 774 of the family's 1533-position model. The record is from RNAcentral.